AAACUUGCAACAACGGAUCUCUUGGUUCUGGCAUCGAUGAAGAACGCAGCGAAAUGCGAAAAGUAAUGUGAAUUGCAGAAUUCAGUGAAUCAUCGAAUCUUUGAACGCACAUUGCGCCCGCCAGUAUUCUGGCGGGCAUGCCUGUCCGAGCGUCAUUU
This 158-nucleotide ribosomal RNA is filed under the name Coniochaeta aff. decumbens IMUFRJ 52014. RNAcentral describes it as "5.8S ribosomal RNA". It matches the Rfam family "5.8S ribosomal RNA". Rfam says of the family: 5.8S ribosomal RNA (5.8S rRNA) is a component of the large subunit of the eukaryotic ribosome. Lineage: Eukaryota; Fungi; Ascomycota; Sordariomycetes; Coniochaetales; Coniochaetaceae. The record is from RNAcentral.